Molecule: ribosomal RNA, 301 nt
Filed under: uncultured bacterium
Lineage: Bacteria
Description: partial 16S ribosomal RNA
Rfam family: Bacterial small subunit ribosomal RNA
Source: RNAcentral
CAGUAGCCGCGGGAAUACAGAGGGUGCGAGCGUUAAUCGGAUUUACUGGGCGUAAAGCGUGCGUAGGCGGCUUCUUAAGUCGGAUGUGAAAUCCCUGAGCUUAACUUAGGAAUUGCAUUCGAUACUGGGAAGCUAGAGUAUGGGAGAGGAUGGUAGAAUUCCAGGUGUAGCGGUGAAAUGCGUAGAGAUCUGGAGGAAUACCGAUGGCGAAGGCAGCCAUCUGGCCUAAUACUGACGCUGAGGUACGAAAGCAUGUGGAGCAAACAGGAUUAGAUACCCCUGUAGUCCCUGUCUCUUAUAC